CUAUGUAUACAUUUAUUAAUGGAGUUUAAUUACAAAACUUCCACUGCAAAUGAGACGUGACAGCCAUAAUUAUUAAUGUAUUCGCUUAAUUUAAUAGGAUUAUCACACUAAAUCAACACUUUACCCGUGAUAUAUAUCCAACCCAAGAGACCUUUAUUUGUUGCUUAAUUAAAUGCAUAAUAAUUAAACUCCAUUAAUGUAU
This 202-nucleotide long non-coding RNA is filed under the name Solanum tuberosum (potato). RNAcentral's name for it is "long non-coding RNA (STUB_LNC005010)". The record is from RNAcentral. Lineage: Eukaryota; Viridiplantae; Streptophyta; Magnoliopsida; Solanales; Solanaceae.